CAGACUUGCUGUUUUUUGUUCAGUUGAAGGGACCUCCAGGCUUAAGAUCUUUCGAGGAUAAUUGUGUCAUUGAAUCUGAAGGUUAUGCGAUCUCCUAUGUUGCUGCAUGUUGAUCUUCUGUUUUGUUGUAACUCUGUUUUGCUGCUCGAGGACAAUUUCCUGGAUUAAUAUAUAUACUGGAGAUCCAGGAGUCCACCCGAAUUCAGUCUCCAAGAAGCCUUUCAUCCAGGAUGCAC
This is a long non-coding RNA of Triticum aestivum (bread wheat), 236 nucleotides long. RefSeq lists it as uncharacterized. The transcript is spliced from 3 exons. NCBI's taxonomy places the organism in Eukaryota, Viridiplantae, Streptophyta, Magnoliopsida, Poales, Poaceae. The record is from RefSeq and is a predicted model, not a curated record.